Long non-coding RNA from Dermochelys coriacea (leatherback sea turtle), 762 nucleotides. RefSeq lists it as uncharacterized. The record is from RefSeq and is a predicted model, not a curated record. NCBI's taxonomy places the organism in Eukaryota, Metazoa, Chordata, Testudines, Dermochelyidae. The transcript is spliced from 2 exons.
CCUAAGGUUUCAAUAAAGGAGCUCAAGUGUAGUACCUUUCCAUAGUUCACCUGGAGAAUGGACAUAUGAAUCAUUUAUGUUAUAAAUAUGUCUUGCAGAAAGGCUUUGCUACCUCCACUCCAGAAAUCAAUGAGGUUAGGUUAGAUUUUUACAGUCCCUGCACAUGCAUUCAUGAAUGAAACACUUAAUUUUAUGUUAAUAAGUUCUGAAGGAACAUUCAUCUAUAAUAUAUUUCUUCCCUUUAACUCCCACACAAAAUUCAGAAAGAACAUUCCUCCUAUAGUUUUUUUUCAUUUUGGGUAUAUUUCUUAUGAAUCAUUCAUUAAUUUCUAUUACUAUGGUGCAAUUUUUUUCCUAUUAAUUCUCAUUAUUCAAAAUAUGCCAUGAUGGAAUGUUUGUAAAUUAUACUAAACACAUUCAUAAUGUGUGCUAUGUUAAUGGUAGAAGUGAAUUAUAUAAAAGAAACAUACACUUCAGUGUUUUAUUCUGUUCAGAAGCAACUCACUAACCUGUUUUGGCUAGCUCUAAAUAUUCACAUUAAUGACUUGGGUGUAUUUUAAGUGGAAAACUGGAACACUGGCCAUUAUAGCUGGGAGGCAGGGUGGAAAUGGAGAAGAAGUUGAGUAUCCUAUGUAUUCCUUUCCUUUCCAGAGCUACAUAUUUUCCCCUCACAUGGAAUAUAAACCGAGGCAUGUUUAGAGCUGAUUGAUAAAAGAAACCAAAUUUUACAGAAGUUUUUUUUAGGUUUUUUUCUGUUUUUUU